This 2624-nucleotide long non-coding RNA is filed under the name Nasonia vitripennis (jewel wasp). RNAcentral describes it as "uncharacterized LOC116738526". Lineage: Eukaryota; Metazoa; Arthropoda; Insecta; Hymenoptera; Pteromalidae. The record is from RNAcentral.
CUAUCUUCAGUUUUUAAAUAUUUUUUCAUAUACUAUACAUUCCAACCACGAUUACGAUUAAAUUCGUGAUAGAAAAAUAAACCUCUCGAUGUACCAGUGCAUGAGGUACGACUGUCGCUCAAGUAAUAACCUACGUUUUAACGGUAGCCUGUUUUUUACACCUAGAUUCAUUUUACAUUGCAGAAUAGUACUUUCAACAUGGCAUCCGCAAAAUUUUCCGUUUUGAUACUAGCCUUCAUGAUCAUAUGCAGUUUGUACGCAUUAGCGGGUUCGUAAAUUUUGUUUUAAAUCACCUUUAUACUUCUCGUACAUAAUAUAAAUGUAACUGUUAUUUUCAAUGAUAUCUUCAUAGAAAGCCGUAAAUGCAUAGUAGGCGCAGAAUAUUUUGAUGGUUGUAAUCUAUGCACGCGUGACGGCAAUACGAAAGAAACCAAGAUAGACUGGAAGCCAACCAUUACAUGCCAGACUAAACAUCAGUGCAGCAGAUACCAUCGCAAAAAUCCUCCACCCCAUUUUUGGGACUAAUUAAAAAAAAAGGGAAAUUGUCAGAGACUCAAAAAAAUAAAGGAAUAAUUCGUGCAGAUAGGUCAAAAAAGCGCCGUCAAAGUAGGCUUAAAUUAUGUUACACGCUUUAUCGACGCGGCGUUUGUGAAAUCAAGUCUCGUGCAUAUAGCAUAAAAAAAGUUACAUUUUAAUAUUCUCAGAGAUGAAUUCAUAUAAUCGAAGAACCGCGUAUAAAUACUCGUUUUAGUGUCUCUUGCAGCUCAGUUGUUUGUUAAAAGUGGAGCACUUUGGAUAACUUAAGAUUCCAUUUAUAUUACAUUUUCGAAUAAUGACAAAGUUACGAUGCUCAUUGCUUUUUGUAGCACUGAUACUUUGCAUCUAUCAAGUGACAGCCUUUGAAUGGUCAGAUUUUGACAGCAAACAGUGUGUAUUGAACAAAUUUUAUUCUGAUGGUUGCAACGAGUGUGUAUGUGCCAAUAAUUUACAAAAUAACAAUGGUGCGUGGAGGCCAAUUAUUCAGUGCACCCGUAAAAUGUGUUACACUGAUGAAAAACCAUACACUCCAGUCGUCCCAUCUGAGGAUUUCUGGCAGUCAUAAUUCGCUUCAAAUAAAAAGUACUUCAUUCAUCAUUUUUGCAAUAUUUUAUAAAGAUAUAUUUUUUUUAAAAUGGCAUAAUACGAUUCAACUACAAUAUUAUUUUGAUUUUUCGAUUACAAUUUUGCCCUCUCCUUAACCCUUCUUGCUUUCCUCUCUCUUCAUACCAAUAAAAAUUUUCACAUAAAAAAAAUUCCUUCCCUAAAAAAGACAAGGUAAUUAAUUAAUCAUUCGAUUCGUUCUUCGAUUGGCCGUUUUCUUCAACGCGCAACUUCUGCGUAUGUUUGAAUUCAUAAUCUUGACAUUUUUAAUCAAAAUUUAAAGCUUACUUCUGUACCAAACAUUUUAAAAACACUGUUGCUAAGUCUAAAUUAAACUUGUUUUAAUGUAUGUACAUACAUACAUAUAGAUCACUAGAGCGAUAUUAAUUACUAGAACAAAACAGUUUUUGACUGGCACUUAUAAGUACCUCUCGAGUUGAAAGAAAUCUCCCAAAGGAGAGUCAGUUCAUCUCUCAGUCGACUUCAGCGCUCCGAGAAGACCUUUCUGGCCAAACUAUGUCGCCUGAGGAAGAUGAUCAGGAACGAUGCUGCUCCGAGCAUUUGGUAGUUGGUUUCUUGGUUGGGCUAGGGCUCCUGAAAAGCAUAUCCGUAUCACCCUUCGACCUUUUGUCAGCUCUGUUCCAGAGCUGAAAAGCAAUUGCAGGAGGCAUUCUGUUGUGCUUUCUAAAAACAUCAUCUGCCAUUGUAAAUGGAUCACAUGUAUUUCAUAUGAACUGCUUUUGUUGAUGACGCAUCUGCCUAAUGUACAUUUACAUGUCCUCGUCAUCAUCCCAAGUAAUAGAGCAGCAACCAUAAUUUAAUUUAAUUCGUUAUCGAAACAUGCCAAUGACGUGAUUAUUAUGCAACAUUUUCCUCUAGUAAGCAAUAAAGCUAUACUGGUUUUCCCUCCAAAUGUAAGAAAAAAAUUAUCUACUCGUAAGUAUACAAGCAGAUGUAAAUACGUAGAAUAUCUCUUAGAAUAUAUUUAUAUUCUGUAGAUAACACGCAACUAACAUCGCGCAGAAGUAUUCUCGAGGAAUCCACUACAAGUUAGUUACUCGUUGAAAGCAAUACACAGCAGAUCUUUUACGAGUUCUAUAAUUUUUACAAAAUGUCGCUGAAACUAUCAUACUCGUUUCUUUGCGUAAUGCACAUUUUCUGUAUUUAUAUCGUAACUGCUUACGAAUACUCAGAAUUUGUGGGUAAACAAUGUAUUGUGGGACGAACUUACAACGACGGUUGUAAUGAAUGUUUUUGUGCUCAUAAUGAGAAAGAUGACAAUGGCACAUGGAUUCCAGCUAUUGCCUGUAAUCAAAUGGAGUGUUAUGACGAGGAAGGAAAAGUAUACGUUUCUGUUGAUCCACCUGAAGAUUUUUGGCAAAAAUGAAUGUAGUAAAAAUAAUGUUUACUAGUUCAUACAUUUAUGUUUAGUUAAUGUAAUGUCAAAUGAUAAUAAUUUAAUAAAAUGAAAUUUUGUAAAAAAA